Molecule: ribosomal RNA, 345 nt
Filed under: uncultured bacterium
Lineage: Bacteria
Description: bacterial SSU rRNA
Rfam family: Bacterial small subunit ribosomal RNA
Source: RNAcentral
UUAAUAGCAUUAUUCAUUUUGACGUUUAGCUGCAGAAGAAGCACCGGCUAACUCCGUGCCAGCAGCCGCGGUAAUACGGAGGGUGCGAGCGUUAAUCGGAAUUACUGGGCGUAAAGCGCAUGCAGGUGGUUUGUUAAGUCAGAUGUGAAAGCCCCGGGGCUCAACCUCGGAAUUGCAUUUGAAACUGGCAAACUAGAGUACUGUAGAGGGGGUAGAAUUUCAGGUGUAGCGGUGAAAUGCGUAGAGAUCUGAAGGAAUACCGGUGGCGAAGGCGGCCCCCCUGGACAGAUACUGACACUCAGAUGCGAAAGCGUGGGGAGCAAACAGGAUUAGAUACCCUGGUAG